This 2190-nucleotide ribosomal RNA is filed under the name Mesocestoides sp. AW-2007. RNAcentral describes it as "SSU rRNA". It matches the Rfam family "Eukaryotic small subunit ribosomal RNA". The record is from RNAcentral. Lineage: Eukaryota; Metazoa; Platyhelminthes; Cestoda; Cyclophyllidea; Mesocestoididae.
UGCGAAAUGGCUCAUUAAAUCAGCUAUGGUUUAUUGGAUCGUACCCGUUAAAUGGAUAACUGUAAUAACUCUAGAGCUAAUACAUGCCUCGAUGCCCUGACCCUCACGGGGAUGGGUGCACUUAUUAGAUCAGAAGCCAACCGUGUUCAGUCGUGGCAACAUGGCUGAGCGCGUUGACCUUCUGGUGACUCUGGAUAAUUGUUACAGAUCGCAGUCGGCCUUGAGUCGGCGACGGGUCCUUCAAAUGUCUGCCCUAUCAACUUUCGAUGGUAGGUGACCUGCCUACCAUGGUGAUAACGGGUAACGGGGAAUCAGGGUUCGAUUCCGGAGAGGGAGCCUGAGAAACGGCUACCACUUCCAAGGGAGGCAGCAGGCGCGCAAAUUACCCACUCCCAGUACGGGGAGGUGGUGACGAAAAAUACCGAUGCGGGACUCCUUCAAGAGGCUCCGUAAUCGGAAUGAGUGGACUAUAAAUCCUUUCACGAGGAUCAAUUGGAGGGCAAGUCUGGUGCCAGCAGCCGCGGUAACUCCAGCUCCAAUAGCGUAUAUUAAAGUUGCUGCAGUUAAAAAGCUCGUAGUUGGAUCUCGGUAGCACUGUUGCCUGUUGGUCUUUGGGUGGAUGGUUGCCGUAGCUAUCGUCGUUGUCGUUAGUGGUGCAUGGGUGUAGCCUGUGUUACUGCAGAUGCGGCGUUGGCUGCGGCGGCAGCUGUGCAUUCCAAGCUAGCGGGGUAGCGGUGUGACCUGUAAGCCAUGUCUGUGGUGAAAGUCACAGGUGUGAGCGAGUGUCGGGCGACGUCCUGCGGUAGUGGGGCUUGUCGGCUCGUUUGCAUGCCUCUGGAUGCCCUUAAAAAGGUGUCUGUGGGCGGAUGGCACGUUUACUUUGAACAAAUUUGAGUGCUCAAAUCAGGCCGAUGUUGCCUGAAAAGUUUUGCAUGGAAUAAUGGAAUAGGACUUCGGUUCUAUUUCGUUGGUUUUCGGAUCCGAAGUAAUGAUCAAAAGAGACAGGCGGGGGCGUUUGUAUGGCUGCGCUAGAGGUGAAAUUCAUGGACCGUAGCCAGACAAACUAAAGCGAAAGCAUUCGUCAAGCAUGUUUUCAUUGGCCAUGAGCGAAAGUCAGAGGCUCGAAGACGAUCAGAUACCGUCCUAGUUCUGACCAUAAACGAUGCCAACUGACGAUCCGUGGUGGUAGUCUGUCAACCUUCCCCACGGGCAGUCCCCGGGAAACCUUUAAGUCUUUGGGUUCCGGGGGAAGUAUGGUUGCAAAGCUGAAACUUAAAGGAAUUGACGGAAGGGCACCACCAGGAGUGGAGCCUGCGGCUUAAUUUGACUCAACACGGGAAAACUCACCCGGGCCGGACACUAUGAGGAUUGACAGAUUGAUAGCUCUUUCUUGAUUUGGUGGUUGGUGGUGCAUGGCCGUUCUUAGUUGGUGGAGCGAUUUGUCUGGUUAAUUCCGAUAACGAACGAGACUCCAGCCUGCUAAUUAGUGCGUUUGUCCACUGCACCUGUGUAGGCGGCGUCCGGUAUAGCUGCUCCUGUAUGCUAUCCUGGUGUGUAGCGUUGCUGUCGUUGUCGUCUUUGUCGUCAUUGCCGUUGUUGCUUAAGCUGCUGUCGCCGGGGCAGCUGGCACUGUCGGUUCGCCGAUGGUGGUGGUAGUCUUGGCGCUGGUGGUGGUAGCGCUGGUUUUGGCGGUGGCGUUGGCGGCAGUUGCGUUGUCAGGGUGGUUUGGGAUGUGGCUGGUCCGGCGUUAGCUUCCGGGUACGGCGCGAAUGCCUACUUCUUAGAGGGACAAGCGGGAGAAGCCGCACGAAAUAGAGCAAUAACAGGUCUGUGAUGCCCUUAGAUGUCCGGGGCCGCACGCGCGCUACAAUGACGGUGGCAACGAGUCAGACCUUCUGGCCCGAAAGGGUUGGACAAACUGGUCAAUCACCGUCAUGACAGGGAUCGGGGCUUGGAAUUGUUCCCCGUGAACGAGGAAUUCCUAGUAAGUGCAAGUCAUAAGCUUGCGCUGAUUACGUCCCUGCCCUUUGUACACACCGCCCGUCGCUACUACCGAUUGAAUGGUUUAGUAAGGUCCUUGGAUUGGUGCCAUUGUGGUGGUUGUCGCCGCCGAAAGGUGGUGGCCCGCCGACAGGUGCCGAGAAGACGACCGAACUUGAUCAUUUAGAGGAAGUAAAAGUCGUAACAAGA